UGGGGAAUAUUGCACAAUGGGCGAAAGCCUGAUGCAGCAACGCCGCGUGAGUGAUGAAGGUCUUCGGAUUGUAAAGCUCUGUCUUUUGGGACGAUAAUGACGGUACCAAAGGAGGAAGCCACGGCUAACUACGUGCCAGCAGCCGCGGUAAUACGUAGGUGGCGAGCGUUGUCCGGAUUUACUGGGCGUAAAGGGUGCGUAGGCGGAUGUUUAAGUGAGAUGUGAAAUACCCGGGCUUAACUUGGGUGCUGCAUUUCAAACUGGAUAUCUAGAGUGCAGGAGAGGAGAAUGGAAUUCCUAGUGUAGCGGUGAAAUGCGUAGAGAUUAGGAAGAACACCAGUGGCGAAGGCGAUUCUCUGGACUGUAACUGACGCUGAGGCACGAAAGCGUGGGUAGCAAACAGGAUUAGAUACCCUGGUAGUCCACGCCGUAAACGAUGAGUACCAGUGGUAGGUAGGAGUAUCGAC
Molecule: ribosomal RNA, 467 nt
Filed under: uncultured bacterium
Lineage: Bacteria
Description: partial 16S ribosomal RNA
Rfam family: Bacterial small subunit ribosomal RNA
Source: RNAcentral